RNAcentral lists this unclassified non-coding RNA (240 nucleotides) under soil metagenome. RNAcentral describes it as "partial contains 5.8S ribosomal RNA, internal transcribed spacer 2, and large subunit ribosomal RNA". The record is from RNAcentral.
AAGACUAUAGACCUGCGGAGUACCUGCGGAAGGAUCAUUACCGAGUUUACAACUCCCAAACCCAAUGUGAACGUUACCAAACUGUUGCCUCGGCGGGAUCUUCUGCCCCGGGUGCGUCGCAGCCCCGGACCAAGGCGCCCGCCGGAGGACCAACCAAAAACUCUUUUUGUAUACCCCCUCGCGGGUUUUUUAUAUCUGAGCCUUUCUCGGCGCCCCUUCGUGGGCGUUUCGAAAAUGAAU